This 481-nucleotide ribosomal RNA is filed under the name uncultured bacterium. RNAcentral's name for it is "partial 16S ribosomal RNA". It matches the Rfam family "Bacterial small subunit ribosomal RNA", at positions 28 to 523 of the family's 1533-position model. The record is from RNAcentral.
GACGAACGCUGGCGGCGUGCUUAACACAUGCAAGUCGAGCGGAAAGGCCACUUCGGUGGUACUCGAGCGGCGAACGGGUGAGUAACACGUGAGUAAUCUGCCCAUGGCUUUGGGAUAGCCACCGGAAACGGUGAUUAAUACCGGAUACGACCACUUCUCGCAUGGGAUGGUGGUGGAAAGUUUUUUCGGCCAGGGAUGUGCUCGCGGCCUAUCAGCUUGAUGGUGAGGUAAUGGCUUACCAUGGCUUCGACGGGUAGCCGGCCUGAGAGGGUGACCGGUCACACUGGGACUGAGACACGGCCCAGACUCCUACGGGAGGCAGCAGUGGGGAAUAUUGGACAAUGGGCGGAAGCCUGAUCCAGCAACGCCGCGUGAGGGAUGACGGCCUUCGGGUUGUAAACCUCUUUCAGCAGGGACGAAGCGCAAGUGACGGUACCUGCAGAAGAAGCACCGGCCAACUACGUGCCAGCCGCCGCAGUAA